UUCCCUCCAAAUGUCACUCAAUCACCUUCAUCGCAUCCCCCUUUUGUAAACCCUCAGUCUCACUUUUUGCUGAAAGCUCACUCAUCACCUUCAUCACCUUCAUCGCGUCCCCCUUUUGUAAACCCUCAGUCUCACUUUUUGCUGAAAGCUCACUCAUCACCUUCAUCACCUUCAUCGCGCAGUAGAAGCCCUCGCCAUCGUUGCCCUACAAGAAGAAACCAUGUAACUCUCGCCAUUGACUGUCGUCGCCUCCCACUCCCCACUCACCCCUCACUCCCCACUACUGACUGACACUCCUCGGCAUCGCUUGCACUGAUCAUCGUUGUGCCACCCUUACCAUCGUCGCUGAGCCGCUCUCACCAUCGUCGCUGCGCCGCUCUCGCCAUCGUCAUCUGCGUGCUUCUCAUCUUCGCUGUGCUCACAUCAUUGGAUAGGUUAUUAAUACCCCGAUUUCUCAUUCAGGGUCCAUUGAAUGUGUUGGCUUUUCACCAAGUGAUUCCUGGGCUACAAUUGGGGGAUUGGAUAAAAAACUUGUCAUCUGGGAUGUAGAACAUUCCUUAUCCCGUUCCACUUGUAACCAUAAGGUUUGUAUGAAUUCUGCUUUGUGCAAAUGCAAGCUCGCAUAUCUAGGAACAAACCGAGCUCUGUUUGCAGCUAUACUUUGACUGUAUGUCUUAUAAAAUAUAGUUUUGGCACCAUGUGAAAUGAGUAAUUAUAGACACACAUUACAUUACAUUAAAUCUUUAAAUGUUGUUAACUUAUUAUUGACCUUAUUGUUGUGCU
Molecule: long non-coding RNA, 783 nt
Organism: Arachis duranensis
Lineage: Eukaryota; Viridiplantae; Streptophyta; Magnoliopsida; Fabales; Fabaceae
Exons: 3
Source: RefSeq, a predicted model, not a curated record